GAUGAACGCUGGCGGCGUGCCUAAUACAUGCAAGUCGAGCGAACAGACGAGGAGCUUGCUCCUCUGACGUUAGCGGCGGACGGGUGAGUAACACGUGGAUAACCUACCUAUAAGACUGGGAUAACUUCGGGAAACCGGAGCUAAUACCGGAUAAUAUAUUGAACCGCAUGGUUCAAUAGUGAAAGACGGUUUUGCUGUCACUUAUAGAUGGAUCCGCGCCGCAUUAGCUAGUUGGUAAGGUAACGGCUUACCAAGGCAACGAUGCGUAGCCGACCUGGGAGGGUGAUAGCAGACAGUGAGAGAGAAACACGGCCCAGCCUGCGGCGGAGGGCAGGAGGAGGGACUCUUGGGCAGGGGGAGAGAGGUUGACGGAGCAACGGGGGGGGGGGUGAAGGGGUCUUGGGACGGGAAAACUGUGUGAUUAGGGAAAAAAAAAUGUUUAACUAAGAGAAGAAGUCAUGACGGUACCUAAUCAAAAAGCAACGGCUAACUCCGUG
This 497-nucleotide ribosomal RNA is filed under the name uncultured bacterium. RNAcentral's name for it is "partial 16S ribosomal RNA". It matches the Rfam family "Bacterial small subunit ribosomal RNA", at positions 28 to 507 of the family's 1533-position model. The record is from RNAcentral.